Merluccius polli (Benguela hake) is the source of this 72-nucleotide non-coding RNA. NCBI's taxonomy places the organism in Eukaryota, Metazoa, Chordata, Actinopteri, Gadiformes, Merlucciidae. The record is from the annotation of a GenBank genome assembly.
GGUUCCAUGGUUUAAUGGUUAGCACUCUGGACUUUAAAUCCAGCAAUCUGAGUUCAGCUCUCAGUGGAACCU